Molecule: ribosomal RNA, 490 nt
Filed under: uncultured bacterium
Lineage: Bacteria
Description: partial 16S ribosomal RNA
Rfam family: Bacterial small subunit ribosomal RNA
Source: RNAcentral
GAUGAACGCUAGCUACAGGCUUAACACAUGCAAGUCGCGGGGCAGCAUGGGGGUUGCUUGCAAUCCCCGAUGGCGACCGGCGCACGGGUGAGUAACGCGUAUCCAACCUGCCCUUCACCACGGGAUAACCCGGCGAAAGUCGGACUAAUACCGUAUGUUGUCCAUUGACGGCAUCCGAUUUGGACGAAAGGUUUGGCGGUGAAGGAUGGGGAUGCGUCCGAUUAGCUGGACGGCGGGGUGACGGCCCACCGUGGCGACGAUCGGUAGGGGUUCUGAGGGGAAGGUCCCCCACACUGGAACUGAGACACGGUCCAGACUCCUACGGGAGGCAGCAGUGAGGAAUAUUGGUCAAUGGGCGUAAGCCUGAACCAGCCAAGUAGCGUGCAGGAUGACGGCCCUAUGGGUUGUAAACUGCUUUUAUGCGGGGAUAAAGUGGCCCACGUGUGGGUUUUUGCAGGUACCGCAUGAAUAAGGACCGGCUAAUUCCGUG